RNAcentral lists this ribosomal RNA (597 nucleotides) under Naohidea sp. RNAcentral's name for it is "partial large subunit ribosomal RNA". It matches the Rfam family "Eukaryotic large subunit ribosomal RNA", at positions 62 to 648 of the family's 3401-position model. Lineage: Eukaryota; Fungi; Basidiomycota; Cystobasidiomycetes; Naohideales; Naohideaceae. The record is from RNAcentral.
AAACUAACAAGGAUUCCCCUAGUAACGGCGAGUGAAGUGGGAAAAGCUCAACUUUAAAAUCUGGCACUUUCAGUGUCCGAGUUGUAGUCUCGAGAAAUGUUUUCCGCGCUGGACCACGUACGAGUCUGUUGGAACACAGCGUCAUAGAGGGUGAGAAUCCCGUUCAUGAUGUGGACUCCCAGUGCUUUGUGAUACAUUUUCGAUGAGUCGAGUUGUUUGGGAAUGCAGCUCAAAUUGGGUGGUAAAUUCCAUCUAAAGCUAAAUAUUGGCGAGAGACCGAUAGCGAACAAGUACCGUGAGGGAAAGAUGAAAAGCACUUUGGAAAGAGAGUUAACAGUACGUGAAAUUGUUGAAAGGGAAACGCUUGAAGUCAGACGUGCGUGAUGCAAUUCAACCGCAAGGUGUAUUUUGUGUCAAAGCAGGCCAGCAUCGGUUUUCCGAGUCGGAUAAAGGUAAGAGGAAGGUAGCAACUCUCGGGUUGUGUUAUAGCCUCUUACUGAAUACGAAUUGGGAGACCGAGGAACGCAGUGCGCCGCAAGGCAGCUCGAUAAGUCGAGUUUCGCACUUAGGAUGCUUGGUGAAAUGGCUUUAAACGAC